UUUUUUUUUCUGUGUCGUAAGCAUGAAGAAGCUAUUCACAUAUAUGUCAUUGUCUUUUGUUAUUACCUGAUUUAUCAUCAACAUUUUAUUUCCUGAUUUAUCGCUCACCUAUGUUGAUGAGCACAAAUCUCUGCUUUCAUUGGUACUUGCAUGCCAAUUUGAAACUACCAGGAUUUUUUUUAUCCGCCAGAAUAAGUGCGUGUUGUUCAACGCAGCAUCUUUGAUUUCUGUUUCAGAUUCUUUGACAGCAAUGCUUUCACCUCAUUUGGACGAGCCGCGUGCUUACAUUGGAUGCAUGAAAUCAGGCGAAGUUUUCUCUGACUCGUGAGUUCAUCUAAUUCUCUCACAUCAAUCAGUUUGCCUCUCAUGAGCUGGCCACUCAGCUCUCAACUUCCAUUCAAGCGUCCCUUUCAUCAGUUUUCAUUUGAUUUCUUCAGAAAACACAAAUGGUACGAACCUGACUGGUGGAAAUUUGGCGACGGAAAGUCGUGAGUAUAUUCCCAACUUUCUGCGUAAACUUUUCCAUCAUAUGCCGGCUCAAGAACAGUUGGAUGGUUUCUUAAAUCCGAUUUACCUUUGUCAACUCUUCAUUUCCUGCUGAUCUUCCGUUUUCUUCCGGGAUUUUGCUCCCUUAUUACUCCCUGCAUCAUCGACGAGGGCUUGAUGGGAUUGCACCGAAAUAGUUCAGUUCAUAAAUGAUCAUCUGUAGCAUUCUAUUUUUAGCAUUCAGGAACAUUGAAUAUUAAAUUCAAGAGAAUGCUGCCCGAAUUCCUUAUGCCUAUUAUGUAAUGGAUUUAUAUAUAUGCCUGCUGAUGGGUCUCCCCAGGGCCAUUUAUAUGCUUCAUGUGGUUCUAUUUUCUUUCUUCUCCAUGUUAAAUUAAAUAUGUCGCCGUGUCUGACAGAUAUUUUCGUCAUGCGUCUGGUGAAUUUUUUAUCUUAUCCCGAGCAUUGGCACAGUUUAUCUCCAUUAACAGGUUAGUUGACUUUCUUCCUGCUACCAUACGGGAAUCCCACGCCGUGAGAAGCUUCUGGAACCCUAAUUACCUCUUAUCUUCCGCAGAUCCAACCUGAAGGCAUACGCCCAUGAUGAUGUCAGCGUCGGUUCAUGGUUGAUCGGGCUUGACGUCAAGCACGUCAAUGAGGGGAAGCUGUGCUGUUCAUCUUGGUCCACUGGUACUCUUUUUUUUUGGUUUACAUAAUACACAAUAAAAAAUUAUUACCCAAUAUCUUUUUAUUUUGAUUUAUAUGAACUAUAUUUUCUCACUCUUUCUAUUUCCAGUGAUAUUCUCUCACGGCAUCUGAUGGGCCAUUUUGUAUCCAUUUCAGGAGCCAUCUGUGGAACUGCGCCGUGAUCGGGUCGCUUCCCCCUUCCCCCUUACCCCUCCGAGAUAUGAUCAGGGUUUCCUGCGCCCUCUUCCUCUCCCCCCUGUAGGUCAACUCUCUGCAGGCGGGCGGUCAACCACGGUGGAUCAAGGGAUAAUUUUUCUAAUCCUGGAGUUCUAUAGAAUACCCGGGAUUCUCUUGCUUGCCAAACGGCCAAUUCCUUCUUCUCUAUCUGAAGAGGAGAUCGCAGCGGCCUCAUGUUGACUGCCCAUCCGACGUGUGUUGAGGGACAAGGAGGCUGCUCCGGCACAGCUUUUCUUCUAAGUUUUCUUCAGAUUCGGGAGCUCCACAUCAUUUUUGUCCUCUUCCUCUUCUUCUUCUUCUUCUGCCAUUUCUUUAUCUGUUACAUCUGUUCUGAGUGUUCUUGUAAAGGAAUGGAAAAGUGGUGAAUCAAAUAAAAUCUAGAGAACCCACAUUGUGAAUCUGGAUCUAAUAAAUCUCUCUCUCUCUCUCUCUCUCUCUCUCUACAUAUGUAUGUAUAGAUGCAGAGACUGUCAUGAUUUCUGAGUUCUCUUGCAGGCUUUAUGGCCCGGAUCGGGAGAAAAAGGUUUCUAAACAUCGGAGGGUUCCGAGAAUAUGGGAAAAGGUAUGAUUUUCAUUCAAAUAUGGAUGGAAAAUCAUAGAAAAAGGCAUAAAUUUGGUAGCUUUUUGCAGUUUUUUUAAUCAAAAAAGCGGGUAGAGAGAGUACUCCUCUCUCAGCCAUUCACCGGGCAGUCUCUGCCAAAAGUGGCCCUUUGCCAAAUUAUUAGCCUAAUUCUCUUAUUUUUAAAGAUAAAUAAAACCUUCAGAGGAUCUGACGAAUUCCUCCCCGCAUUAUCAGCCGCCUCCCUCUUCCUCUCUCUCUGGAAGCCUGGAUCCGGCCUAUGCAAUUCGGGUCGUUACUGGGCCUGACGGACCCGGGAAGAUCCACCGAUCACGAAGCUAAGACCGGUUCUUUUGGGAUCCGAACCGAUAGGGAAAGUGGCAUAGGCACCAAGCCGGGUCGUGAUUGGCCCCGUCCACGAUAUUUUUGAAAGAAUAAAGAAUAAUAUAUAUUGGCCAAAAAAGGCGGCAAUCACGCCGGAGCCGGAGGGGCUCCUCCGCUGUACCCUGCUGGGGAGGGGUUGGGAGGAGGAGCGUCGGAGUUGAAGAACUCGUCAAUGUCCACGAGAUCUGCGAAUUCCUCCUCCACGCGCCACGUGGAGUCCCCCGUCAGCUCCAUUGGCCCCUCCUCCACGGCGACGCUCCCGAAGUCGUCCAUCUCCGCGAAGGGGAACCCCGGAGGAGGCGGCGCCGCCGGUGAGAAGUCCAUCAGCGGCAGAUCAUUCAACGGCAGUAGCAGCGCCGCCAAGUCCUUGCCCAACCCCAUCUCCAGAUCCUCGAAAAUCGGGUUGCGCCGCUUCCCCACCUCCUCCUCCGCCGCGGCCGCCGCCGCCGCCUUGGUUCUCUUCGUCGCUGGCGAUUCUCGGUCGUCUGGGGGGUUCAUCUUCUUCUGCUCUGCUUCGUCCUUGGGGGCGUAGCAAAGCACCGACUUUGGAGAGGACGAGGAGUCGAGGACGGGCUCCUCGCCGGAGUUGGGGAGGUUACAGAGGGCGGCGGCGCCGCGGAGCUUCACGGCGGCGCGGUCGUAGGCCAUGGCGGCCGCCUCCGCCGUGUCGAAGGUGCCCAGCCAGAGGCGGGUCUUCGUCGACGGGUCGCGAAUCUCGGCGGCCCACUUACCCCACGGCCGCUGCCGGACCCCUCGGAACCUCCUCGGGGGCGCCGGCGGCUUCUCGAACUUGCAGGGCCUUGCCUUGCCGCCGCCGGGGGCGGCGGUGGCUCUGAGGGAGACUUCCCCCACGACGAUCUCUUGGACGUAUCGCUUGACGCGGCGGCGGCGGGACGGGAAGGAGUCGUCUUCCUCGUCGGAGGAGUCGGUGGCGUCUCCGUCGACGACGGAGACACGGAGGAGGCGGGGAAGGAAGGUGGCCCCAUUGGAGGAGGGCUUGAAGGUCUUCGUCACUUGUCUCCUGAUCUCUGUGAACUUGAAAGCCGGCGCCGGAAAGAAAGAAGAAGACCCUUCGUUCCCCAUCGCCGAUAUGGCGCUUAAAUGCCCUCGUCUGUUCGUCAGCUCGCCGAGAACAUCGCUGCCUGGAAGAGGAGGAGGAGGAGGAAGAAGAAGAAGGAGACAGAACGACCUCUGUAACGAAUCAAUGCUCCUUGAAAGAUGAUGACAGAGAAGAGACGAUAGAGAGAUCGGAUAUUUGGAAAGGACAGAGCUUGCUUUGGGGAUGAUGGGGAGAUCAAAUUCGGCAGAGGCCCGCGAGAGGUUGGAUCACCAGGGCGGUGAGUUGCAGACAACGCCGGCCAGACGCCGGCGGCAUCGGCGGCGGUCGCAGGGCUGAGCGAGCAUCUCCCCCUGCCCUGCUCCGCAUUGGUAGACAAACGAAGGACGCCCAAGGGGAGAGAGAGAGACUGAGACAGAGACAGAGAGGAGUAGAUCGCAGCGGAGAAGAGGCCACUGCGAAGGAUGCUGAACUGUCGCGUUUUAAGGAUGCGAGCAGCCGAAUUCGGGUAACUUCUCUCUCUCUCUCUCUCUCUCUCUCUCUCUCUCUCCUCCUUAUGUUUCUGAAUUUGGUUACUUCCUAUUCUGCCGGGGGUGGGGAGGACUCUGCCGGAGGAGAGUAGUUCCCGUUGGGAGGUGGCCCGCCCUUCUCCCCUGUUACCGCCGGAUUUUUGAAAUCGGCGGCGGAGAAGGCGAGCCCUCCUGGCCAGCUCACCCCCGAAACGGCUGACCCAGCCGCCCCUCCGAUCCUAGAUACUCGGAUUCUCCGGAUUCUGUUUUACUCUUUUUUCUUAUUUCCAAAUUGGCUCUGAUUCCUAAAUUAUUCAUCAUAUAAUCUCUCUCCCCCCAAACUGCCACGUGUCCGUCUCUGCCCCUCCGCACUGCCACGUGGCGCUGCAUGGGAGUUCAGCUACUUCCAGAGUGAAAGCCCAGCUUAAUAUUUUUUAUAUAGCUAAUUCGGAUAAAAAUAUCUGAUUUCUUCGUGCAUACGUUCGGGUGCCCGUAAUUCGUAAAAUUUAUUGCUAAUUCCCCAGUCAUUUAAUUUGAAAAAUGGCAUAAUUAGAAUAAAAAAAUACCUGACUUAUUUCAAAAAUGAUUUUCAUUAUUUUCGUCGCGUUCGCGCGAGAAUGAAUCGUGAGCGAGUCAACGAGAGCCCGGCAUCUCCUCCUCAUCGGAGUCUCUCUCGAUGAGCGCUCGUCAACGAUGCCCAGUUUUGAGUGGAGAGAGGAUCUGAAGGGACCGGCGUACCUGUGGAAGAGCAGCCGCCGGAUUCGAGAACCGACGCGGCCGUCGAGCGUCUCUUCAUCUCGCCGGCGCCGGUCGCCGCGUCGGACAGGAGGGGGGAAGAAGAAGAAGAAAAAGAAGAAGGGAGGGGGAGGGAAGAGAGAUCGCCGGUGAGUCUCGCCGGUGCCGGUGGCCGGCGACUGGGGGGCGGGAGCUGCAUUUAUAUGGUGCGAGCGGGAGGAGGGGACGGGAAGCCGGGAAGGCUCUCUCCUUCCCCAUUUAUCUCGGAGGCCGUUUAAACAAAGUAGGAAUAAUUAAUGGGCCCGGUUACCAGGCCCAACUAGACUUUUCGAUGUCGAGGGUUUCUGUAGUGGACCGUCUUUCAUUUGAAUGGGCCUGGAGCCGCCACAGAGCAAAUAGUUUUGGGCCAGACAAGGCGAUUUCUGACCAAGGCAACUGGGCUCCAGAAUCGGCCCGAUAAUAAAUAUUGAGGGAAGACGUCCCGGGGAGGAGUUACCCCACUGCCUGUUCAUUCUCAUUGGCAGAGGUGACCGAUGAGAGAGAAAAGAGAUGUGAGAUAUACAUAGAGAGAAGAAAGAAGAGAGGAGAGCGAGAGAGAGAGAGAGAGAGAGUGAUGAGACUCCCAACUCCACAAAAUAUGAUGAAUGCUCAAAGAGAAAAAGAAGAAGGGAUAGAAACUUUAAGGAACCUGCAUGAACUCUAGAACUAUUAGGACUUUCAAGACAACUUUUAAGAGACUUUUAUUUCUUCUGGGUUUGGAUCCUUAAAAUUAUUUGAAGACAUACAAGUUACAACCUUGCCCUUCUCUCUUAUUCGAGUUGAGCUAUGGUUUAGCUUUUUUGGGCCACAAGUUAUUCAUUUUGGGAUGGUGUUCUUCACCUUCUAAAGUAUGCAAUAAUCUGGGUUGUAUCAAUGCUCUUCCUUUUGUUGAACACUUUGUGUUUAAGAUGCAACUUAAGGAGUUGUCUUUAAAAAGUUGUUAACUGAUUCUUGUAAAAGUUCAGAUUUAGUCAAUUGAUCUCACUAAAUUAAACUUAUUAAUUAAAAAGUAUGGAAUGAGCAUCUAACUUCUCCUUAGGGCACAUUAUCAUAUGAAAUUUACUAUCCAUAUUCUCCACUAAAUUUUACUAUCAAUAAGUGUUAAGGCAUUGCAUAAUUAAAACACAUUAGACAGUUGAGUGAAGUGAAGAUGGUAAGAUAAAUUUAUGACUAUAAGCUGCACAUCCAAAGAAAGUACAUUGGAGUUAAUUUUUCUUUUCAUUGCUAAAGAUUUCAUCUUAUAUGAUAGUAACUUAGGAUAAACUUGCUCACUCACUGAAAAUUGUGCAUCUUUUGUGUUGGUUGACUUCAAUUUUCAAUUGAUUUCAAGCUCUAUUGAGUUUUAGUUAACUCAAAUAGAAAAUAUGGUUUUGAUGAUUUUGAGAAAUAUUAUCUUUAAAAUGAUGAUAUUUGAUGUGAAUUGAAUGAAAGAUUAAUGUGUUAAUUGUAUUGAUGAGUUCAGAUUGUUUGAAUAAUGAAUUAAGGUCUAUAUCAUGGAAAAAGCUAUUACUAUAUUUAAUUUUUUUUCAUGAAUACAACUCUUACAUAAUUUAAAGAUAAGGAAAAUAACAUGUGUAGUAAAUAUAUUUUUUUUGAUUAAAUAUUAAUAUUUAAAUUAUAUUUAUCAGAUAUUUUUUAUAUCAUAGGCAUUGGGAAUAUAUUUGAAUUAUAAUUCAUGUGUUAAAAUAUUAAAAAAAAGAGUGAGUGGUUGAUUUGAUAUUGAUUUUAUAAGAUUAUUGCUCUAAUAUACUAACAUAGGUAAAAUCAGACAAAGAUAUGAUAUUUUCUAAUAAAAUAAUUUUCAUCUCAAAAAAUUUGUGACAUAAAUUUGCAUGAAUAUAAUCAAUGGAAGCUGGACUUGAACAGGAAUGUAGAGAAAAAAACAUUGUCAAAAAGUACCAUCUAUCAAGAGAAUUAUGAAUUUUUUACUCUUUAUGAUUUAUGUUUAUGUAUUUUUCAAUUUGCCCACAACCUCUUAAGACCCAUUUUAGAUUGACCAUAAGUAGGUAAGGGCAAAAAAAAACAAAAGAGUUGGUCAACCCUAAUAAUAAAUAUGCUUCUUUGUAUAAACAAGGGUUAAGGAAAGAAAUACCGAAUUUUCAAGUGAUGACUAUUGUUUCAUUUGCACAUCUUCUUCUUUCUUAACUCAUCUUUAUUUCUCCAAUGAUCAAGGACAAGUCAAAUCAAAUCAAGGAAGUUUUGAACAUCUCUCAAUUGACUCACAAAAUUUUUAUUUUAUCUCAUUAUCCUCUAGCUUCUUUCAAUAACAUCAAUCAUCAUUUGUGAACAAAAAAUAAAUAUUGAAGGUCGUCAUAAAUUCAGUCAUUAUUUUUUAUGCUAGUUUGAUUUGUGAUGUUUGGCUUGGUAUAUAUAUGCAUAAUGUGUUGUCUAUGUAGCCACAUAGUUCAUUGAGUGACAAGCAAUGUGCAAUGAUGAGACUUUAGAACCAAAUAAUUCUAAAUUUUUUAAUAUAUUAAUUAUAAUGUUCUUAAUCAAAGGCUUGUUGAUUUUGAUUGUAGAAAAUUUUCUUAAUUCAUAUAAAAUUAAAAGUGUAUUUUUUGGAAGAAUAGUAAAAUUGAGGGAGAGUAUAUUGAGGCUUUGACCUCAACAUACCAUUCUUGUGGGAGAUGAUCCCACUAGAAGAAUGACACCAAUAACCAUAUGAACAUUCUAGAACUAGUUAACACUAUUAAACUUGAAGCCAUCUGAAACAAUUUAAUAAUAGUUGAAUAUGCUCUAAUAAUUCUCAAAGAGGCAAACAUGGAUGUUGGGCUAGAGAAGUAGAGUGAAUCAUAAGUUACAAUAGCUACAGGAAGCCUAGAGACGACAUAAGACUCAAAAAUAGUUACAAUAUAGAUAACCAUUUAAAGCCCUCCCCCCAUCCCCUCCCGACAAGAAGGAAGAAGCAAGAGAGAUUGGAGGAGAAAAAGUUUUGUGAAAAGACCCAUUGUUAUAACUGAGGUCUUUGAGGAGCCACAACACCUUUUCCCCCUAUUUUUUUCCUCGUCACAUUCCGUUAGUUUUCCCUUAUCAUCUUCUUAAGAAGGUAGUAUAUCUCAAAGGUGUUCUAAUUUCUAAUAUCUUCUUUCUCAAUUCUUAAUUUUACUUCUCAACCUAAUUAUUGUGGGAGUUUAAGUUUAUAUCAAAAUACCCAAGUGGAUAUAAGCCAAAGGACUUUGACCGAACUACUUUAAAAAUCUAGUGCAUCAUCCUCUUCUUUAUUUUACUCCAAGAUAUAUAACUAACAUAUUCAUAGACAAAUAAAUUUAAAUAAAUACUAUUAUCUUUAAAAAAGUGGUAAAAUAAAUUCACCCAUCCCCUCUUGAUUUCUUAAGCAAUAUUGAGACCAAGAAAUUAUUUGAAAUUGAUUUGAGUUGGUUAAAUAUUUGGUCUUAAAUUAUAAUUUAUUUUCUAUGAUUGCAACAAGGGUAGGCAAUGAUCUAUAAUAUAAUAGUGAUAAAAAAAUCUCUCUAAUGACCUAAAUAAAGUUAUCGCUAUGGAGUUAUGAUAUGAUGUAAUUGGGAAUUAUACUCUAAUUAAGUCAAUAUAUCAAAAUUUGACAGUUUUAGAGAUAAUAAUUAAGAUACUUUUUUCACACACUAAUUUACUACUUUGGUUUUUCCAUCAACUUGUGGGUGAUGUAUCAUGCUCCAUUUAAGUUGUGUAUUUUGGUGCUUUAAUAGUUUGGGCCAUAACAAGUUUAUAAGUAUAGGGGUUACAUUUUAAGACUAUGGAUUUAAGAUUAUCAUGAAUCAAAAUUUUUUGUAUGAAUUUAUUGAUACUCAAUAUUAUUGUAAAUAGAUGUUUUAUUAUAAUAAAAUAUUCAUAUUUACCAAAACAAUUAAUUAUGACUAAGAUAAAAUUAUACCUUAGAGACAAGAAAAUAUUCACUAAAAUCCAUAAACAUUUGUUCAUAAAUAUAUUUCAAAAUUUUGAGAGGUUGAAGUCAUCACAUCAAUAAUACAAAGAGGAUUUUUUUCAUUGUCACAUACCUUUUAAUCAUCUAUUUCAUUCUAAUAUAAUGAACUUACUAGCUAUCAUUCAUCGUUACUAUAUAUUAGUAUAUUUUAAAAAAUUGAUAAGCCUUAAGUUUGAAAUAUCAUUCAUAAUUGACUAAACUAUAUAAGACAUUUGUGAGAUGAACAACAUUACCACAAAUUCAUAAUGACCAUCAUGGAUGUUACAAUUUAUUAUGAGAAUGUUCUCUUUUUUCAUCUAAAUUUGAUGAAAUCUAAACUUAAAAUCUAACAUCAUAAAAAUAAUCAUGUUGUAUCACUAGUUUAAUAGUUAUUCUAUCACUAGUAUAAACAUUUGUUUAGAAAUUUUGGCUUGGUUUAAUACUUUGUAAUCUACACAAAAGCUUAUUUUUCAUCCUUCUUCUUGUCUAAGAAGGUUGGAUUUGAAAAUAAACUAUUAGAACGUUAGGUGAUCUUAGCCUAUCACAUAUCUUGAACAAGAGAUUUGAUCUCAUCUAUUUGGAUAUGAGAAUAUCUAUAAGAACAAACAUUAAUAGGUUUUAUACUUGAUGUUAACAUAAUGAGGUGAUUGUGCUUCUUUUGAAUGAGAACUCAUGUACUGAGUCAAAGAUUCUUAAAAAUUUGACUUCAAGUUGCUUCUUCCUACUAGAGGAAAUUAACUUUAGAACUUUAUAACUCUUUAAUAAUGGACUUUAAGAAUAUCAUCAAUUUACUAAAACAAGGACCCUCUUCAAUGUCUUAAUUACUUCAUCUAUUGAGAAAUUCAUAGUGAUUGUGUCAAAUCAGUUGAAUUACCUCUAAUGUUUUCUACCACUAAUUUGUAAGAUGACAUUCAUAUUUUUUAACUUCAAGGGUAAGAAAUCAUAUAUUGUCAAUAAGCCUUAGAUUAUGAUUCUAAUUUUCUUACCCAUUCCAUAGUAGUUAAUUACUUAUUCAAUAGUUAAUAUUAUGUAGCUUACUAUCUUUAAUAAGAGUAAAUUCAAUACAUCUUCGAACUUGUCACAAAUAAAAUUAUUGUUUGUCUCAUGAUGAUGAAAUUAUGCCCUUAAACAUAGCCUUUAAGUUUCAUGAUACUCAUUCUAUUAGUCUCACAACAUAAUCUAGUGAUGCUUUUGCCAUCUUCAAAGUUUCUUCUUCAAUCUAUUCACUCAUUUAAAUUGAAUCUUCUUUGUCAUGUAAAUGUCACUCGUUAUGCCCAAUACAUUUACUAAGGCCACAAUCUUCUUCUUGUAUUAGUAAAAUUUAAAAAUAUUUGUUAAAUUAAAUCCAUAAUAAUUAAUUUAGACAUAGACUUGUCAUCUUAGUGAAAAUACAACCCAUUUUCACAAAUGUAAUUGUAAUUUAACUCAAUAAAAAUACAACCCAUUCUCACUAUCAACCAUCAUCUCGUUUCUUGGCAUGAUCAAUUUAGACUUGUUAAUUCCUACAUGAGUGAUUGUGUUAUCAUACCUUAGUUGUCAUAACUUUGCUUGGGCAAACUUUAACAAUAUGCUUCAGCUUGCUCCUAUCAUUACUUUAUGUAGAGCUUAGGAAUUAUUGGGUUGUAAAUUUACUCUUAUAGUGGUUCAGCUUCUAGGCCACUCACAUAUUGCAAAGUCUCUCUUUAAUUUAUUCAUAACUUAGAUUAUUCAUGCUCAACAUUUCUUAUUUUGCCUCUCGAAAUGAUUAUUUCUCAUAAUAUAUUUAGGGACCCUUUUCAAAAAUACCAUCAAGUCAUCAAAAACUUGCCAUUACUUUGAUAUUACUCUUUCUUCCUUGAGGUUUACAAACUAUUGGCAUACAUUACAUAAUGACAUGUUAUAAAAUAUUGAAAGAAGUAUACUUAUGGAUAUUGUCACCCCUAGAAAGGACAUCUCUUAUUCGUCCAUAGGUACCAUGAUAAGAUGUCACUUUUCAAGACACAUAAUUGCAUUAUUACUCUAAUCCUUUUUGAAAAUUUUGUUCAUCUUGAAGUAAAGCUCAUUGUAGCUUGGUGUGGAGGUAUAUGAGAGAUCAAUGCAUUGUCAAAGCUUCCCCUUCUCACCGAUAAAGAAUGGAUCUAAAUAUUUGUGUUAUUAUCAAUGAAGCAAGACAUUAUGAACCUUUAAAGACCUUUUAAACUUUCAGAUAACGGCUCUAAUGAUUUAGCCUUUAGAGACUUUGGAUGUUGUAUCAUGCUUUCCUUCUUCUAGUUGUCUCAUUUUGGGACUUUGUUGGUCAAUUAUUGUUUGAUGAUCUUUCAUAUUGUCCAAACGUCAUAAAAUCUUUAACAUGGUGGUGAUAUCUUUCACUUUGAUUCUUCAUCUCUUCCUACAAGUAGUCUAUCCAAUUGUUGUUGGGCUUUAGUGCCAUGUAUCUGAAAUCGUCGCUCUAAUACAGGUGAUACAAGUCCUAACAACUCCACAAAAAUGUGAUAGAACGAUAGAAAAGAUAAUAACUAUAGGGAACCCUAAGGAGCCCUAGAACAAUUCAAAUGACUCUCAAUAAGCCUUCACCUCACGGUCUUGAUUUCUUUUGUUCUUGUUCCUUGAUGCCCAUCUCCUCUAGGCCUAGCUCCUGAUAAUCCCCCAAAGGCAAACAGGUUAUCAUCUUACCCUUCUUUCUUACUUGAGCUGAGCCAAGUUUUGACCUCGUAAGGCCACAGUUGGCCCUUUUGGGUUGAUCUUCUUGUCAUUCUAAAGCACGUAAUUAAGUGUGUAAUCUCCUAGAAGACAUACGGAGAGGCACAGAACAGAUUGCGCAUUAAAUAAUGCAGCAAGAAUAAAAACCCAGGAGUCCUCAAAGAGACAUCGUCAGCCCUCCAGAAUAGGCUUAGAGAGAGAGGGAGAGGAAGAUCACAAGAUGGUAACAAUUUUAAUAGAUACAGAAAGCUUAAUCAAACAGGCCAACCAGCGAAGAAAAGAUGAGAAAGAGAGAGAGAGAGAGAGAGAGNNNNN
This 11582-nucleotide long non-coding RNA is filed under the name Spirodela polyrhiza (greater duckweed). Its description in RNAcentral is "long non-coding RNA (SPOL_LNC000781)". Lineage: Eukaryota; Viridiplantae; Streptophyta; Magnoliopsida; Alismatales; Araceae. The record is from RNAcentral.